This 500-nucleotide ribosomal RNA is filed under the name uncultured Glomeromycotina. RNAcentral describes it as "partial small subunit ribosomal RNA". It matches the Rfam family "Eukaryotic small subunit ribosomal RNA", at positions 591 to 1092 of the family's 1831-position model. Lineage: Eukaryota; Fungi; Glomeromycota. The record is from RNAcentral.
CCAAUAGCGUAUAUUAAAGUUGUUGCAGUUAAAAAGCUCGUAGUUGAAUUUCGGGAUCAACAUGUCGGUCGUGCCUCUGGUACGUACUGGUAUCGUUGAUUUCUACCUUCUGACGAACCAUGAUGUCAUUAAUUUGGUGUCAUGGGGAAUCAGGACUGUUACUUUGAAAAAAUUAGAGUGUUUAAAGCAGGCACACGCUUGAAUACAUUAGCAUGGAAUAAUGAAAUAGGACGUUUGACCCUAUUUUGUUGGUUUCUAGGAUCGACGUAAUGAUUAAUAGGGAUAGUUGGGGGCAUUAGUAUUCAAUUGUCAGAGGUGAAAUUCUUGGAUUUAUUGAAGACUAACUACUGCGAAAGCAUUUGCCAAGGAUGUUUUCAUUAAUCAAGAACGAAAGUUAGGGGAUCGAAGACGAUCAGAUACCGUCGUAGUCUUAACCAUAAACUAUGCCGACUAGGGAUCGGAUGAUGUUAAUUUUUUAAUGACUCAUUCGGCGCCUUACG